UACGGAGGGUGCAAGCGUUAUCCGGAUUUACUGGGUUUAAAGGGUGCGUAGGUGGGUCUGUAAGUCAGUGGUAAAAUCUCCGAGCUUAACUCGGAAACUGCCAUUGAUACUAUAGGUCUUGAAUUAUCUGGAGGUAAGCGGAAUAUGUCAUGUAGCGGUGAAAUGCUUAGAUAUGACAUAGAACACCAAUUGCGAAGGCAGCUUACUACGGAUAUAUUGACACUGAGGCACGAAAGCGUGGGGAUCAAACAGG
RNAcentral lists this ribosomal RNA (253 nucleotides) under uncultured bacterium. Its description in RNAcentral is "partial 16S ribosomal RNA". It matches the Rfam family "Bacterial small subunit ribosomal RNA", at positions 524 to 776 of the family's 1533-position model. The record is from RNAcentral.